UACGGAAGGCAGCAGUGGGGAAUAUUGCACAAUGGGCGCAAGCCUGAUGCAGCCAUGCCGCGUGUAUGAAGAAGGCCUUCGGGUUGUAAAGUACUUUCAGUCGUGAGGAAGGUGUUAAGGUUAAUAACCUUAGCAAUUGACGUUAGCGACAGAAGAAGCAUCGGCUAACUCCGUGCCAGCAGCCGCGGUAAUACGGAGGGUGCGAGCGUUAAUCGGAAUUACUGGGCGUAAAGGGCACGCAGGCGGUUAAUUAAGUUGGAUGUGAAAUCCCCGGGCUUAACCUGGGAAUGGCAUUCAAGACUGGUUAGCUAGAGUCUUGUAGAGGGGGUAGAAUUCCAUGUGUAGCGGUGAAAUGCGUAGAGAUGUGGAGGAAUACCGGUGGCGAAGGCGGCCCCUGGACAAAGACUGACGCUCAUGUGCGAAAGCGUGGGGAGCAAACAGGAUUAGAUACC
RNAcentral lists this ribosomal RNA (452 nucleotides) under uncultured bacterium. RNAcentral's name for it is "bacterial SSU rRNA". It matches the Rfam family "Bacterial small subunit ribosomal RNA", at positions 340 to 786 of the family's 1533-position model. The record is from RNAcentral.